CCUACGGGGGGCUGCAGUGGGGAAUUUUGGACAAUGGGGGCAACCCUGAUCCAGCCAUGCCGCGUGAGUGAAGAAGGCCUUCGGGUUGUAAAGCUCUUUCGGCCGGGAAGAAAUCGCUCAAGCUAAUACCUUGGGUGGAUGACGGUACCGGAAGAAGAAGCACCGGCUAACUACGUGCCAGCAGCCGCGGUAAUACGUAGGGUGCGAGCGUUAAUCGGAAUUACUGGGCGGAAGCCGUGCGCAGGCGGCGAAAGCCCCGGGCUUAACCUGGGGAAUGCGUUUAUGACUGUGGUGCUCGAGUGCGGCAGAGGGGGGUGGAAUUCCACGGGUAGCAGUGAAAUGCGUAGAGAUGUGGAGGAACACCGAUGGCGAAGGCAGCACCCUGGGUCGACACUGACGCUCAUGCACGAAAGCGUGGGGAGCAAACAGGAUUAGAUACCCCAGUAGUC
RNAcentral lists this ribosomal RNA (449 nucleotides) under uncultured bacterium. Its description in RNAcentral is "partial 16S ribosomal RNA". It matches the Rfam family "Bacterial small subunit ribosomal RNA", at positions 338 to 795 of the family's 1533-position model. The record is from RNAcentral.